This 484-nucleotide ribosomal RNA is filed under the name uncultured bacterium. Its description in RNAcentral is "partial 16S ribosomal RNA". It matches the Rfam family "Bacterial small subunit ribosomal RNA", at positions 30 to 507 of the family's 1533-position model. The record is from RNAcentral.
AUUGAACGCUGGCGGCAGGCCUAACACAUGCAAGUCGAGCGGAUGAAGGGAGCUUGCUCCUGGAUUCAGCGGCGGACGGGUGAGUAAUGCCUAGGAAUCUGCCUGGUAGUGGGGGAUAACGUCCGGAAACGGGCGCUAAUACCGCAUACGUCCUGAGGGAGAAAGUGGGGGAUCUUCGGACCUCACGCUAUCAGAUGAGCCUAGGUCGGAUUAGCUAGUUGGUGGGGUAAAGGCCUACCAAGGCGACGAUCCGUAACUGGUCUGAGAGGAUGAUCAGUCACACUGGAACUGAGACACGGUCCAGACUCCUACGGGAGGCAGCAGCGGGGAAUAUUGGACAAUGGGCGAAAGCCUGAUCCAGCCAUGCCGCGUGUGUGAAGAAGGUCUUCGGAUUGUAAAGCACUUUAAGUUGGGAGGAAGGGAAGUAAGUUAAUACCUUGCUGUUUUGACGUUACCAACAGAAUAAGCACCGGCUAACUUCGUG